Vigna unguiculata (cowpea) is the source of this 1243-nucleotide long non-coding RNA. RefSeq lists it as uncharacterized. The record is from RefSeq and is a predicted model, not a curated record. Lineage: Eukaryota; Viridiplantae; Streptophyta; Magnoliopsida; Fabales; Fabaceae.
ACCUAAAUCAAAAUCCUCCCCCAAAACUUUACCCAAACUAAAAUUUUCUCCCAAAUUCUGAUUUUCCCCCGAAUUCUGAGCGACAGUUCAUGACUACCCUUUUUUUUGGUGUUUUGUUCAUCAAUCAUCACUGUCGAUUUUCAUUGGUAUUUUGUUCGAUUGUCGAAGUUCAAUUUUUGUCGUGAUUCAACUCGUCAUGGUGACACACUAAUUUAUCCGCCAACUGCAUCCGGCCACCGUAAGGAUGAUGGCGCCGUUGAAGCUAGGGAUGUAGGCGAGUUCCCAACGAUUUUCGUCGGAGAUUAUGGCGAUUUCGUUGAUUUUGGAGAGGGUUUCGAUGAGGUCAUCGUCGACUUAGAUUUUGCAGAGGGAGUGGAAGUUGUCAGCGGAGAAUUCCGGCGAGGGAGGUUAGAAACAUUGCGUUCUUCGCACCGCAUGGUCUUCUCCAACAGACUUGAUACAGCAGAGAGGGUGUUAUACAUGGUGCAUCAUCUACUAGACAUCCUUCAAGCUCCUGAUCCAAACACCAUAGAGUCUUUUCUGGGAAGAAUUCCUAUGGUAUUCAAUGUUGUAAUUGUAUCAGUAGCUGAUUACUUUGGCCAAGUAAAUAUCCUAGGUUUGCCUGAUACUAGUGGAAAGAUUGUUUAUAUACGUGAUUAAGUUCUUGCUUUAAAGAAGGAGAUGCUGGUCAGAAUUCAAAAACAAGGAGAUGGCAUUUAUUCUACUGAGGACCUUGCUCAAUUGAUCUUUGAUCUUCAUCAGAUUGCAGAUGCUAUUGAAAAUGGAAAGGGUGACACUGGUUUGUGGGCGUAUAGUUGGUGUCAUUGCAAAGAAGUAUGGUGACACCAAUUUUGCAGGGCAAUGUCUUGAUUUACAACUUAAUAUCCAAUAUUUGUAUUUAAAUUAAAGUUAACAAAGAUGUUCUCCCUGCUUCUAGAUUUACAAAAAUUGUGGCAAUCAUGUUUCUAGAUUUACAAGAAUUGUGGCAGUCAUUUGCUUGCAUCCUAACACCUGGAAUGAACAUUUGCUUGGUAUAGGAGAGGCUAAUGAUUAUGUUAGGAACGUAUCUUACUAAAAUUCUGCUGCUUUGGGUUGCCUAACAUCUGGUUUGGGAAAUUAAACAUGAAAUGUGUGCCUUUGGUAAUGGAGAGUGUGGGACCUGGUUACUUGAUUAUUUAUCCUAUUGUUCUUUAUUCAAAGAUGUAUUGUACUCGAUCAGUAAAAUUAGUCAUUCAUGGUAUUA